RNAcentral lists this transfer RNA (65 nucleotides) under Cavia porcellus (domestic guinea pig). It matches the Rfam family "tRNA". From Rfam's summary of the family: Transfer RNA (tRNA) molecules are approximately 80 nucleotides in length. Lineage: Eukaryota; Metazoa; Chordata; Mammalia; Rodentia; Caviidae. The record is from Rfam by way of RNAcentral.
GGGGAUUUAGCUCAGUGGCCUAAAGCACCUGCCUGGCAUGUGGGAAGUCAUGAAUUCAAUCCCCA